RNAcentral lists this ribosomal RNA (427 nucleotides) under uncultured bacterium. RNAcentral's name for it is "partial 16S ribosomal RNA". It matches the Rfam family "Bacterial small subunit ribosomal RNA", at positions 355 to 774 of the family's 1533-position model. The record is from RNAcentral.
UGGGGAAUAUUGCACAAUGGGCGCAAGCCUGAUGCAGCCAUGCCGCGUGUAUGAAGAAGGCCUUCGGGUUGUAAAGUACUUUCAGCGAGGAGGAAGGCGUUGUGGUUAAUAACCGCAACGAUUGACGUUACUCGCAGAAGAAGCACCGGCUAACUCCGUGCCAGCAGCCGCGGUAAUACGGAGGGUGCAAGCGUUAAUCGGAAUUACUGGGCGUAAAGCGCACGCAGGCGGUCUGUCAAGUCGGAUGUGAAAUCCCCGGGCUCAACCUGGGAACUGCAUCCGAAACUGGCAGGCUAGAGUCUUGUAGAGGGGGGUAGAAUUCCAGGUGUAGCGGUGAAAUGCGUAGAGAUCUGGAGGAAUACCGGUGGCGAAGGCGGCCCCCUGGGCAAAGACUGACGCUCAGGUGCGAAAGCGUGGGGAGCAAACA